This 452-nucleotide ribosomal RNA is filed under the name uncultured Anaerolineaceae bacterium. RNAcentral's name for it is "bacterial SSU rRNA". It matches the Rfam family "Bacterial small subunit ribosomal RNA", at positions 916 to 1382 of the family's 1533-position model. The record is from RNAcentral. Lineage: Bacteria; Bacillati; Chloroflexota; Anaerolineae; Anaerolineales; Anaerolineaceae.
GGGCCCCGCACAAGCAGCGGAGCGUGUGGUUUAAUUCGAUGUUACACGAAGAACCUUACCAGGGUUUGACAUGCAAGUGGUAGGAAGCCGAGAGGUGACCGACCUUCGGGGAGCUUGCACAGGUGCUGCAUGGCUGUCGUCAGCUCGUGUCGUGAGGUGUUCGGUUAAGUCCGCUAACGAGCGCAACCCUCGCCGUAUGUUACAAGUGUCAUACGGGACUGCCGGUAAAAAGCCGGAGGAAGGUGAGGAUGAUGUCAAGUCAGCAUGACCUUUAUAUCCAGGGCUACACACACGCUACAAUGGUCUGUACAAUUGGUUGCCAAGCCGCGAGGCGGAGCCAAUCCGUAAAGCAGGCCUCAGUUCAGAUUGCAGUCUGCAACUCGACUGCAUGAAGCCGGAGUUGUUAGUAACCGCAGGUCAGCAAUACUGCGGUGAAUACGUUCCCGGGUCUU